RNAcentral lists this ribosomal RNA (300 nucleotides) under uncultured Collinsella sp. RNAcentral's name for it is "bacterial SSU rRNA". It matches the Rfam family "Bacterial small subunit ribosomal RNA", at positions 496 to 795 of the family's 1533-position model. Lineage: Bacteria; Bacillati; Actinomycetota; Coriobacteriia; Coriobacteriales; Coriobacteriaceae. The record is from RNAcentral.
UCGAGUUGCGUGUAGGCGACGGGGGUAAUACGCAAGAGGCAAGGGUGACUGGUAAAUGCUGGGCGGAAAGCGUUCGUAGGUGGGUAGUGAAGUCGGUCGUGAACGCCCCGGGCGCAACCUGGGAAUGGCGAUGGGUAGUGGCGGGCUAGAGUGCGGUAGAGGAGAGUGGAAUUCCCGGUGUAGCAGUGAAAUGCGUAGAGAUCGGGAGGAACAUCAGGUGCGAAGGCGGCUCUCUGGACCAGCACUGACACUGAGGCACGAAAGCGUGGGGAGCAAACAGGAUUAGAUACCCUGGUAGUC